AGAGAGAGACAUGCGCGCAUAUCAAUAAGCGGAGGAAAAGAAACUAACAAGGAUUCCCUUAGUAACGGCGAGUGAAGCGGGAAGAGCUCAAAUUUGAAAUCUUCAAGGUUUUACCUUGACGAAUUGUAGUCUAAAGAAGUGUUUUCUGCUGAAGUUUUGGUAAAAGUUCUUUGGAAUAGGACAUCAUAGAGGGUGAGAAUCCCGUAUUUGACCAUUAUUUUCAGCUUUGUGAUACACUUUCAAAGAGUCGGAUUGUUUGGGAAUGCAGUCCAAAAUGGGUGGUAAAUUUCAUCUAAAGCUAAAUAUUGGCGAGAGACCGAUAGCGAACAAGUACCGUGAGGGAAAGAUGAAAAGAACUUUGAAAAGAGAGUUAAACAGUACGUGAAAUUGUCAAAAGGGAAGCGUUUGACACCAGUGUUGUUUUCUCGAAAAUCAAUUAAAAAUGGCUCGAUUUUGUAUUGCUUGAGACCUUAAAAGCUCACUGUACAUUUUUCGUGUCUUUUUUAAUGCACUUUUCGUUUAACAAGUCAACAUCAGUUUCUUUUGUUGUAAAAGGGUCAUUGGAAGGUGGCUUUCUUUUCGGAGAAAGUGUUUAUAGCCUUUGGCCUCUGCAAUCGAAGAGACUGAGGUCUGCAGCGUAGACUCUUCGGGGUUAGAUACAUUUGUGCUAAGUUAUAGCUUUUUAUAGACAACUUGUUGACUAUAAUUAGUCUUGUAGCUUACUCGCUUAUGCUAUUUUACCUACGCUUAGGAUGUUGAAGAUGUAGCACAUCAU
RNAcentral lists this ribosomal RNA (775 nucleotides) under uncultured Neocallimastigales. Its description in RNAcentral is "partial large subunit ribosomal RNA". It matches the Rfam family "Eukaryotic large subunit ribosomal RNA", at positions 23 to 620 of the family's 3401-position model. Lineage: Eukaryota; Fungi; Neocallimastigomycota; Neocallimastigomycetes; Neocallimastigales. The record is from RNAcentral.